AUUGAACGCUGGCGGCAGGCUUAACACAUGCAAGUCGAGCGGGUUCCUUGAGCUUGCUACCGGACCUAUCGGCGGACGGGUGAGUAAUGCUUAGGAAUCUGCCUAUUAGUGGGGGACAAUAUCUCGAAAGGGACGCUAAUACCGCAUACGUCCUACGGGAGAAAGCAGGGGAUCUUCGGACCUUGCGCUAGUAGAUGAGCCUAAGUCGGAUUAGCUAGUUGGUGGGGUAAAGGCCUACCAAGGCGACGAUCUGUAGCGGGUCUGAGAGGAUGAUCCGCCACACUGGGACUGAGACACGGCCCGGCCGCCUACGGGAGGCAGCAGUGGGGAAUAUUGGACAAUGGGGGGAACCCUGAUCCAGCCAUGCCGCGUGUGUGAAGAAGGCCUUAUGGUUGUAAAGCACUUUAAGCGAGGAGGAGGCUACUGAGACUAAUACUCUUGGAUAGUGGACGUUACUCGCAGAAUAAGCACCGGCUAACUCUGUGCCAGCAGCCGCAGUAA
Molecule: ribosomal RNA, 501 nt
Filed under: uncultured bacterium
Lineage: Bacteria
Description: partial 16S ribosomal RNA
Rfam family: Bacterial small subunit ribosomal RNA
Source: RNAcentral